RNAcentral lists this ribosomal RNA (2496 nucleotides) under Campylobacter jejuni. RNAcentral describes it as "partial 23S ribosomal RNA". It matches the Rfam family "Bacterial large subunit ribosomal RNA", at positions 581 to 2925 of the family's 2925-position model. Lineage: Bacteria; Pseudomonadati; Campylobacterota; Epsilonproteobacteria; Campylobacterales; Campylobacteraceae. The record is from RNAcentral.
ACUAUGUAGCAAUACAGUGUGAUGGACUGCCUUUUGCAUAAUGAGCCUGCGAGUUGUGGUGUCUGGCAAGGUUAAGCAAACGCGAAGCCGUAGCGAAAGCGAGUCUGAAUAGGGCGCUUAGUCAGAUGCUGCAGACCCGAAACGAAGUGAUCUAUCCAUGAGCAAGUUGAAGCUAGUGUAAGAACUAGUGGAGGACUGAACCCAUAGGCGUUGAAAAGCCCCGGGAUGACUUGUGGAUAGGGGUGAAAGGCCAAUCAAACUUCGUGAUAGCUGGUUCUCUCCGAAAUAUAUUUAGGUAUAGCGUUGUGUCGUAAUAUAAGGGGGUAGAGCACUGAAUGGGCUAGGGCAUACACCAAUGUACCAAACCCUAUCAAACUCCGAAUACCUUAUAUGUAAUCACAGCAGUCAGGCGGCGAGUGAUAAAAUCCGUCGUCAAGAGGGAAACAACCCAGACUACCAGCUAAGGUCCCUAAAUCUUACUUAAGUGGAAAACGAUGUGAAGUUACUUAAACAACCAGGAGGUUGGCUUAGAAGCAGCCAUCCUUUAAAGAAAGCGUAAUAGCUCACUGGUCUAGUGAUUUUGCGCGGAAAAUAUAACGGGGCUAAAGUAAGUACCGAAGCUGUAGACUUGCGCACAACUUAGAUUAUUUAAGUUUAGAAUAUGAGAAACUAAGUUAUGUUUAGUUAUAUUUUUACUGAUUUUUAUAGAGUAAAGAUAGAAAUAAAACUUAGUAAAAUCAGUAAAAAUAUUCUUAGGCUAAAGUUAAGUAGUUUAAGUUGUGUGCAAGUGGUAGGAGAGCGUUCUAUUUGCGUCGAAGGUAUACCGGUAAGGAGUGCUGGAGCGAAUAGAAGUGAGCAUGCAGGCAUGAGUAGCGAUAAUUAAUGUGAGAAUCAUUAACGCCGUAAACCCAAGGUUUCCUACGCGAUGCUCGUCAUCGUAGGGUUAGUCGGGUCCUAAGUCGAGUCCGAAAGGGGUAGACGAUGGCAAAUUGGUUAAUAUUCCAAUACCAACAUUAGUGUGCGAUGGAAGGACGCUUAGGGCUAAGGGGGCUAGCGGAUGGAAGUGCUAGUCUAAGGUCGUAGGAGGUUAUACAGGCAAAUCCGUAUAACAAUACUCCGAGAACUGAAAGGCUUUUUGAAGUCUUCGGAUGGAUAGAAGAACCCCUGAUGCCGUCGAGCCAAGAAAAGUUUCUAAGUUUAGCUAAUGUUGCCCGUACCGUAAACCGACACAGGUGGGUGGGAUGAGUAUUCUAAGGCGCGUGGAAGAACUCUCUUUAAGGAACUCUGCAAAAUAGCACCGUAUCUUCGGUAUAAGGUGUGGUUAGCUUUGUAUUAGGAUUUACUCCGAAAGCAAGGAAACUUACAACAAAGAGUCCCUCCCGACUGUUUACCAAAAACACAGCACUCUGCUAACUCGUAAGAGGAUGUAUAGGGUGUGACGCCUGCCCGGUGCUCGAAGGUUAAUUGAUGGGGUUAGCAUUAGCGAAGCUCUUGAUCGAAGCCCGAGUAAACGGCGGCCGUAACUAUAACGGUCCUAAGGUAGCGAAAUUCCUUGUCGGUUAAAUACCGACCUGCAUGAAUGGCGUAACGAGAUGGGAGCUGUCUCAAAGAGGGAUCCAGUGAAAUUGUAGUGGAGGUGAAAAUUCCUCCUACCCGCGGCAAGACGGAAAGACCCCGUGGACCUUUACUACAGCUUGACACUGCUACUUGGAUAAGAAUGUGCAGGAUAGGUGGGAGGCUUUGAGUAUAUGACGCCAGUUGUAUAUGAGCCAUUGUUGAGAUACCACUCUUUCUUAUUUGGGUAGCUAACCAGCUUGAGUUAUCCUCAAGUGGGACAAUGUCUGGUGGGUAGUUUGACUGGGGCGGUCGCCUCCCAAAUAAUAACGGAGGCUUACAAAGGUUGGCUCAGAACGGUUGGAAAUCGUUCGUAGAGUAUAAAGGUAUAAGCCAGCUUAACUGCAAGACAUACAAGUCAAGCAGAGACGAAAGUCGGUCUUAGUGAUCCGGUGGUUCUGUGUGGAAGGGCCAUCGCUCAAAGGAUAAAAGGUACCCCGGGGAUAACAGGCUGAUCUCCCCCAAGAGCUCACAUCGACGGGGAGGUUUGGCACCUCGAUGUCGGCUCAUCGCAUCCUGGGGCUGGAGCAGGUCCCAAGGGUAUGGCUGUUCGCCAUUUAAAGCGGUACGCGAGCUGGGUUCAGAACGUCGUGAGACAGUUCGGUCCCUAUCUGCCGUGGGCGUAAGAAGAUUGAAGAGAUUUGACCCUAGUACGAGAGGACCGGGUUGAACAAACCACUGGUGUAGCUGUUGUUCUGCCAAGAGCAUCGCAGCGUAGCUAAGUUUGGAAAGGAUAAACGCUGAAAGCAUCUAAGCGUGAAGCCAACUCUAAGAUGAAUCUUCUCUAAGCUCUCUAGAAGACUACUAGUUUGAUAGGCUGGGUGUGUAAUGGAUGAAAGUCCUUUAGCUGACCAGUACUAAUAGAGCGUUUGGCUUAUCUUU